GAUGAACGCUGGCGGCGUGCCUAAUACAUGCAAGUCGAGCGAACAGACGAGGAGCUUGCUCCUUUGACGUUAGCGGCGGACGGGUGAGUAACACGUAGGUAACCUACCUAUAAGACUGGGAUAACUUCGGGAAACCGGAGCUAAUACCGGAUAAUAUUUCGAACCGCAUGGUUCGAUAGUGAAAGAUGGCUUUGCUAUCACUUAUAGAUGGACCUGCGCCGUAUUAGCUAGUUGGUAAGGUAACGGCUUACCAAGGCAACGAUACGUAGCCGACCUGAGAGGGUGAUCGGCCACACUGGAACUGAGACACGGUCCAGACUCCUACGGGAGGCAGCAGUAGGGAAUCUUACGCAAAGGGCGAAAGCCUGACGGAGCAACGCCGCGUGAGUGAUGAAGGUCUUCGGAUCGUAAAACUCUGUUAUUAGGGAAGAACAAACGUGUAAGUAACUGUGCACGUCUUGACGGUACCUAAUCAGAAAGCCACGGCUAACUACGUG
This 497-nucleotide ribosomal RNA is filed under the name uncultured bacterium. RNAcentral describes it as "partial 16S ribosomal RNA". It matches the Rfam family "Bacterial small subunit ribosomal RNA", at positions 28 to 507 of the family's 1533-position model. The record is from RNAcentral.